Molecule: ribosomal RNA, 643 nt
Filed under: uncultured Bacilli bacterium
Lineage: Bacteria; Bacillati; Bacillota; Bacilli
Description: bacterial SSU rRNA
Rfam family: Bacterial small subunit ribosomal RNA
Source: RNAcentral
GAGUUGCGAACGGGUGAGUAACGCGUAGGUAACCUGCCUGGUAGCGGGGGAUAACUAUUGGAAACGAUAGCUAAUACCGCAUAAAAUGGAUUAUCGCAUGAUAUUCCAUUGAAAGGUGCAAAUGCAUCACUACCAGAUGGACCUGCGUUGUAUUAGCUAGUUGGUGGGGUAACGGCUCACCAAGGCGACGAUACACAGCCGACCUGAGAGGGUGAUCGGCCACACUGGGACUGAGACACGGCCCAGACUCCUACGGGAGGCAGCAGUAGGGAAUCUUCGGCAAUGGACGGAAGUCUGACCGAGCAACGCCGCGUGAGUGAAGAAGGUUUUCGGAUCGUAAAGCUCUGUUGUAAGAGAAGAACGAGUGUGAGAGUGGAAAGUUCACACUGUGACGGUAUCUUACCAGAAAGGGACGGCUAACUACGUGCCAGCAGCCGCGGUAAUACGUAGGUCCCGAGCGUUGUCCGGAUUUAUUGGGCGUAAAGCGAGCGCAGGCGGUUAGAUAAGUCUGAAGUUAAAGGCUGUGGCUUAACCAUAGUACGCUUUGGAAACUGUUUAACUUGAGUGCAAGAGGGGAGAGUGGAAUUCCAUGUGUAGCGGUGAAAUGCGUAGAUAUAUGGAGGAACACCGGUGGCGAAAGCGG